Molecule: ribosomal RNA, 884 nt
Filed under: Salmonella enterica
Lineage: Bacteria; Pseudomonadati; Pseudomonadota; Gammaproteobacteria; Enterobacterales; Enterobacteriaceae
Also listed under: 1 other name
Description: partial 23S ribosomal RNA
Rfam family: Bacterial large subunit ribosomal RNA
Source: RNAcentral
CCCGGUAAACGGCGGCCGUAACUAUAACGGUCCUAAGGUAGCGAAAUUCCUUGUCGGGUAAGUUCCGACCUGCACGAAUGGCGUAAUGAUGGCCAGGCUGUCUCCACCCGAGACUCAGUGAAAUUGAACUCGCUGUGAAGAUGCAGUGUACCCGCGGCAAGACGGAAAGACCCCGUGAACCUUUACUAUAGCUUGACACUGAACAUUGAGCCUUGAUGUGUAGGAUAGGUGGGAGGCUUUGAAGUGUGGACGCCAGUCUGCAUGGAGCCGACCUUGAAAUACCACCCUUUAAUGUUUGAUGUUCUAACGUGGACCCGUAAUCCGGGUUGCGGACAGUGUCUGGUGGGUAGUUUGACUGGGGCGGUCUCCUCCUAAAGAGUAACGGAGGAGCACGAAGGUUGGCUAAUCCUGGUCGGACAUCAGGAGGUUAGUGCAAUGGCAUAAGCCAGCUUGACUGCGAGCGUGACGGCGCGAGCAGGUGCGAAAGCAGGUCAUAGUGAUCCGGUGGUUCUGAAUGGAAGGGCCAUCGCUCAACGGAUAAAAGGUACUCCGGGGAUAACAGGCUGAUACCGCCCAAGAGUUCAUAUCGACGGCGGUGUUUGGCACCUCGAUGUCGGCUCAUCACAUCCUGGGGCUGAAGUAGGUCCCAAGGGUAUGGCUGUUCGCCAUUUAAAGUGGUACGCGAGCUGGGUUUAGAACGUCGUGAGACAGUUCGGUCCCUAUCUGCCGUGGGCGCUGGAGAACUGAGGGGGGCUGCUCCUAGUACGAGAGGACCGGAGUGGACGCAUCACUGGUGUUCGGGUUGUCAUGCCAAUGGCACUGCCCGGUAGCUAAAUGCGGAAGAGAUAAGUGCUGAAAGCAUCUAAGCACGAAACUUGCCCCGA